GUCGGAGUGGUGGAAUGGUAGACACGCAAGCUUGAGGGGCUUGUGGUCGCAAGACUGUGCCAGUUCAAGUCUGGUCUCCGACA
RNAcentral lists this transfer RNA (83 nucleotides) under Mycoplasmoides pneumoniae M129. RNAcentral's name for it is "Mycoplasma pneumoniae M129 tRNA". It matches the Rfam family "tRNA". From Rfam's summary of the family: Transfer RNA (tRNA) molecules are approximately 80 nucleotides in length. Their secondary structure includes four short double-helical elements and three loops (D, anti-codon, and T loops). The record is from Rfam by way of RNAcentral. Lineage: Bacteria; Bacillati; Mycoplasmatota; Mycoplasmoidales; Mycoplasmoidaceae.